Molecule: unclassified non-coding RNA, 419 nt
Filed under: Hevea brasiliensis (rubber tree)
Lineage: Eukaryota; Viridiplantae; Streptophyta; Magnoliopsida; Malpighiales; Euphorbiaceae
Source: RNAcentral
GGAAAAUCUAAUUGUAAAAUUGUUCCAAACAGAAAUAGAAAGUGAGGUAUAACAUUUGAGGUAGUAAAUAAAACAGUGCCAAUGAUCCAUCCAUUUAAACACGACAUAUUUGGUUCUAAAAAAAAUCUAACCAGACCGACCAGCUUGCUUUCAAGGUGCCAAGCUGCUAGACCAAAUCACUUGAAACACUUGAUGUACAUAGUUCUGGCAAGCCAACUUAGUUGAUGGAAUCUUUUAGCCAACCAUGGAAGCCCUCACAUUAAAUUUGAACACAAAUGAGAUCACUUAGGGACAACACGAGCCUUGUACAUGCAUAUAUAUGCCAUGUGCCAGUCACCUCCACCAGAUAGCUUUAAGAUGUCUUCUUCUCUCUGUGCAAUGGGAUUAUCAUCAUCAUAUUCAAUCCACUUCCCACUUUC